Molecule: ribosomal RNA, 467 nt
Filed under: uncultured bacterium
Lineage: Bacteria
Description: partial 16S ribosomal RNA
Rfam family: Bacterial small subunit ribosomal RNA
Source: RNAcentral
GACGAACGCUGGCGGCGUGCUUAACACAUGCAAGUCGAACGGAAAGGCCCUGCUUUUGUGGGGUGCUCGAGUGGCGAACGGGUGAGUAACACGUGAGUAACCUGCCCUUGACUUUGGGAUAACUUCAGGAAACUGGGGCUAAUACCGGAUAGGAGCUCCUGCUGCAUGGUGGGGGUUGGAAAGUUUCGGCGGUUGGGGAUGGACUCGCGGCUUAUCAGCUUGUUGGUGGGGUAGUGGCUUACCAAGGCUUUGACGGGUAGCCGGCCUGAGAGGGUGACCGGCCACAUUGGGACUGAGAUACGGCCCAGACGCCUACGGGAGGGAGCAGUGGGGAAUAUUGCACAAUGGGCGGAAGCCUGAUGCAGCAACGCCGCGUGCGGGAUGACGGCCUUCGGGUUGUAAACCGCUUUCGCCUGUGACGAAGCGUGAGUGACGGUAAUGGGUAAAGAAGCACCGGCUAACUACGU